UACGAAGGGGGCUAGCGUUGCUCGGAAUUACUGGGCGUAAAGGGUGCGUAGGCGGGUCUUUAAGUCAGAGGUGAAAUCCUGGAGCUCAACUCCAGAACUGCCUUUGAUACUGAGGAUCUUGAGUUCGGGAGAGGUGAGUGGAACUGCGAGUGUAGAGGUGAAAUUCGUAGAUAUUCGCAAGAACACCAGUGGCGAAGGCGGCCCACUGGAUCGGUACUGACGCUGAGGUGCGAAAGCGUGGGGAGCAAACAGG
This 253-nucleotide ribosomal RNA is filed under the name uncultured bacterium. RNAcentral's name for it is "partial 16S ribosomal RNA". It matches the Rfam family "Bacterial small subunit ribosomal RNA", at positions 524 to 776 of the family's 1533-position model. The record is from RNAcentral.